AAAUAAACCACUUUCUAUGAAAAAUAACAUUAACCUUGGAACAAAAUUUUGUAGACAACUUCACAGUAUUUCGGCAAAUACAACACGAUUAAACUGCAUCUUAAGCUAGUGAAAAUGGAAUAAAUUUCACUUGAUGCUAAUGAAAAUCAACAAAACCUACAAUAUCAAACAUAGCAGGGAACAGUUUGGGUCCAAAGAGUUGCAUUUUGAAUACUUGACAAUUCUCAACUUACCCAACAAAAUAUGCUUUCAGACGUUUUUCAAAUCUUUGAUUUGCUUAAACACGAUACGUGAUAAAUAUUGGAUUUUGAUAUCACUAUACCGUGUUCUGGGAUGAUAGGAGGCGAGUGAAUUAGGUAACUAUGGACUAUACAUUCAACACUCUUUGAAGGUCACCAGUGAGAUCAUCCAGAUCAAUGACUUCUUUCCGAGUUGUUUUUUCCAUCCUCAUCUUGUUGAGCUCUAAUUUCAAUUCCGAAAUCUGCUUUUCCAAUUUUGCUCCUUGGUCUGGUAAUCUUGAAACUGUAACCUUAUUCCCAAGUAAUUGUGACAAACGUUUGAUUCUCUCUUUGAUUUCAGAUUCUGUCAGUUUGCCAACACUAUCUGGGGAAGAACUUUUCUUAUUCAGUUUUACAUCCUUCGGAUUGAAAGCAUGCACAGCCCCGUCAACAUUGUGCUCAAUUGAAUAACUUGAAGAACUUCCAACAAAUGCAUUUCUUUUUCUCCUUAUCUCUUCCUCUUCUAUAUUUACAACUUGUAAACGAGCUGUUUUGGAGAAUAGCAAACUGUGGUGACUAACACCCGCUAUGCCUAGACUCUCCAGGAAGUUCACAUGGCCUUCCAAAAACUCAUCCAUCUUGUACUGGUGGUCAUGUUCUUCAUGUAAUUGCUGUUGCGUGAGGGAAAUAUCAAACCCCUGCUUUGGGAGGCUGAAUAGUUCCCGAAGGUCCUGCUGGCUAAAGUACCGAAUCUGUUCCUUGUGUUCAGUUGCAGUUUUAAACAAUCCCCCUUUGAAUAUCUGCUUUCUAUAUAUCUUUUCUUCAACUGUUCCACAUGUCAUUAAUCUAUACACAAGGACAUCUUUCUUUUGCCCAAUUCGAUAUGCACGAUCAACACUUUGGUUAUCCGUGCUUGGAUUCCAUGCAGGAUCAACCACAAUGACACGGUCAGCUUUUGUAAGCGUAAGGCCAACACCACCAACUUGAGAUGUAAGGAGGAAUAUAGGGGCCCCAAAACCUUCUUGGAAAUCAUUAACAAUUUUCACUCUGUCGCUAGCUUUAGUGGUUCCAUCAAUGCGUAAGAAUUUGUAACCAUUAGACAGUAGGGAUUCCUGAAUUAGAUUAAGCAUCUUGCGUGUUUGAGAGAAGAUAAGAAUAUUAUGCCCCUUCGGAAUUAAAUCAUCCAAUAGUGACAACAUAAAAGAUAUCUUGCACGAAAUAUUGUCGUGCUUCUCUUGAAAUUCAACUCUUUCAGCUACAUCAGCAACAUGCAUUGCCAACUUUUCUGCUACACCAGCAUCCUCUGGAUCUAGCAUUGAAUCCAUUCCUUCUAGCACAUCCUCAGCAGCUCUUUUUGUCAAAAGAAGUGGGUGAUCACAUAUUUUCUUCAGAAUCGUUAAUGCAGCCAAUGGUGAGCCAUCAAAAGCGGAUAAAACCAGCUCACUUUGCAAAAAGGCUUCAUACAAUUGUCGCUGACAGCAGGUAAGUCUUAGCCACACAAUCAUCUCGUUCUUUUUCGACAGUGUAGCAGUUGCAGAAUCAUCUUCUUUAAAUACUUCAUUCUUCAAACGACGUAAAAAAUAAGGUUGAAUGCGUUCUCUUAGCUCCUUUGCAACAGUCGAACCAAUAUGCUUGUCCCUAGCAGAAGCACUCUUAUCAUUUCCAUGGAGGAUGGGAUGCUCAUAAUGUUCUUUAAACCAUUUAUAGUCACCAAGCAGAGCGGGGCAACAAAAGUUGAACAAAGUCCACAUUUCCUUAAGGUUGUUUUGAAUAGGGGUUCCACUAAUGAUAAUACGAUGAGCACUUGGUAUUUCAAGCAAACUUUUUGCCCUCUGUGUGCUAGGAUUUUUUAUGAGAUGCCCCUCAUCAAGAAUCAUGUAAUCCCAUGUGUAACCAUCCUCACUUUCCUCAUCAGCAUAGCCAUCUCCUCUCAAUGAUUUUGCAUUGUUCCGCACUAUAUCAUAAGUUGUAAGGAGAAUGCCUUUGUCAUUAUUUACUCUGGUUGGAAUUCAGUUGUAUCAACAAGGAAAACACUAGUGGAACCUGAAGUAUAUAUUGCAGCUCAUAUUGUCGAGCUUUAGAAGAGGUUCCAAAGUAUCUACAUGGAAGCACAGUGAAAAUCAGUAUACAUCAACAAGCAACUUUUCUUCAACCUUUUGUUGUAAGAGCUUCAGUUAAACAGCCUUACUCUCUAGUUUCCCCAGAAAGACCAACAGUGGAUAGUUCUUUGAUCCAAUGAGAAAGUAGUGUUUUAGGGGCCACAACCAAUGCCCUUUUAAUUAACCUCGAAUGAAACAAUCCAGCUAGAAAGCCACAAAUCUGCAUCGUUUUCCCCAGACCCAUAUCAUCUCCUAAGAUUCCACCCUUACCCUGAUAGUGCAAAGACCACAGCCACUUUAACCCAUCACGCUGAUGUGGAUACAACAUUUUUGCAAUUUUACUUGGUAGUUCAUAUGUCGAUCUUGGACCAGCCAAAGUAAAGGAGCUUUCAUCCUCCAAAACUGAAUUAUUUGUAUAAUCAUCCAACAAAUCAAUAGCACUAGAGUGAUCAGAUGACUCCUUGUACUUACCAACGUGCCUCCCAGCUCCUUCAACCACCUUUUUGCCACUCAAAACCAAACAAUCAUCCUCAUCCUCUUCUUCUUCACUAAGAAUAGGCACAAAAGAUGGCCCUGCAGACCUUAAUCUCCCUUGCACCCUUCUGGAUUCAAUUUUCUCCUGUCUUUUAGUACUUUUCUUAGUUUUCCACUCCCCAGUGGCAUGGGUAUCAUCCUCAGACUCACUUCUUAAAUCAUUUUCCUCAUCUUCUUCACCAUUAGACAUAUAAGAGUUUCCCCCAGCCGCCAAUUUGCCACCCACCUGUUCAUAUUCAUUCUCGAUUAGCCCCCUACUAUAUUUGUUGGCCUUACGCAAUUUAUCAACAAAAGAAUCACCUCUGGCCCUCAACAAAUGAACCUCAUCAUAAUCAUCCACAGCACUCUCAAUACAACCACCAACAAUCUUAUUCACUUCAAAUGAAGAAUCAGAUGGAUCAGAAGUACCAGAAAAUGAAGAGUCAGCACUUGCAUAUUCAGGCACAUCAACUUUCUUCUCUCUAUCUCCACCUCCAACCAAUUUCGAAUAUUCAUCAGCCACAUUGACCUUGUGAAUGUCUCUCUUUUUCUCAAUUGACAAAAGGUCAAGCCUGGAGCUCAAAUCAUUGAGAAUAUCCCUGAUUUCAUUGGCAGGCUGAUUACUGUUAUCAACAGCCGUAGCUUUAGAUGGAAGAGGUGAAUCAACAUCAGUAAUAUCAAAGAAACUAGGUUCAUUGAGCACAGGAGCUACGCGCCCACCAUUUUCCUUGCCUGGAGAUGAGACUUUGCAAAGCCGACGUCUCCCUUCAAUCUUAACCUUUGUCUGCUUUUCUUCAGAUGAAGGAUCAAAAUCAGUGAUUCCAGAGAACUGAGGAAUCUGAUCAUCAUCAUCAACAACAAGCUGGGUCUCCAUAGCCGAUGCUUUGCAGAGACGACGUCGUCCUCCGAGAUUCAUACUCUCUUCUUCAUCUUCGAAGGAAGAUUGAUUCUUCGGAGGAGCAGAGAGGUCUUGGAGAAAACGAUAAUGGCUAUCGUUUAAGCUUACUGGUUUCCUGUUACUUUUCUUGGAAUCAGCCAUUUCUGUUUAACAGAGCAUUAGAGAAUAGAUUUGGGUUUUAUUUUGGUCGUGGAGUUAUUGGAAUUUUCCCGCUUAUUUGAAAUUUGAUUUUGCAUUGGCUUUUGGAAUUUGUAAUAAUCGCCUAGGCCAUUGGGUUUACGGGUGAAUUGCCU
RNAcentral lists this unclassified non-coding RNA (4021 nucleotides) under Hevea brasiliensis (rubber tree). The record is from RNAcentral. Lineage: Eukaryota; Viridiplantae; Streptophyta; Magnoliopsida; Malpighiales; Euphorbiaceae.